CCUACGGGGGGCUGCAGUGAGGAAUAUUCCUCAAUGGCCGAAAGGCUGAAGGAGCGACGCCGCGUGCGGGAUGAAGGGCUUCGGCUCGUAAACCGCUUUUAUUUGGGACGAAUUCUGACGGUACCAAAUGAAUAAGAGGUUGCUAACUCUGUGCCAGCAGCAGCGGUAAUACAGAGACCUCAAACGUUGUCCGGAUUUAUUGGGCGUAAAGGGUCCGCAGGUGGCCGUGCGCGUCGGGUGUUAAAUGUCGGGGCUCAACUUCGACACUGCACUCGAUACGGCAUGGCUAGAGGCCGGAAGAGGCACACGGAAUUGCCGGUGUAGUAGUAAUAUGCGUUAAUAUCGGCAAGAACGCCAAAUGCGAAAGCAGUGUGCUGGUACGGUUCUGACACUCAGGGACGAAAGCGUGGGGAGCAAACGGGAUUAGAUACCCCGGUAGUC
Molecule: ribosomal RNA, 441 nt
Filed under: uncultured bacterium
Lineage: Bacteria
Description: bacterial SSU rRNA
Rfam family: Bacterial small subunit ribosomal RNA
Source: RNAcentral